Molecule: long non-coding RNA, 1594 nt
Filed under: Glycine max (soybean)
Lineage: Eukaryota; Viridiplantae; Streptophyta; Magnoliopsida; Fabales; Fabaceae
Description: long non-coding RNA (GMAX_LNC003659)
Source: RNAcentral
UUCGAAAUUCAAUUCCGCACGCUACCACCGUUGGGAUUUUUGGGAUAAUAUUCGUGGAGGGAGAAAAAGGAAUCGUAUGAAGACAGUACAAGUGGAGGUUUCAAUCUCUUCUCCGUCUCUCUGACGUUUGGGAAUUCUAUCGGAGCAGUCGGAUGAAUAAUUGAAAGAAUUUCCGGGAACCGCUAGAGAUGUUGCUAUCGCUGGCUGAAGACACGUGAGCCCGCUUAGAGGUAAGGGAUGAGUUAUUCACCGUUGGGAUUAGUGAGAACAUGUGUAGGGAUCCUUAGAGGAUUAAAUUGGGAUUUUAUUUUGGGAUGUUUGUUAAAUUGCAAUUUUUCCUUUAUGAUUAUAAAUAAAAUAUUGAUGUCCUGAUGAAAAUUGCUUGAUAAAUUGUGCUCUUGAUAUUUGUAUAUUUGGACCUAUGAUUUGGAUAUAAUUGUGUAAUAUUAUUUGAGGGGUUUUAGUCCUCAUGUUGUGAUAGUCUUUUAUAUACAUUGUUAUAUUGAGGAUAUGAAAUGAUAAUUCAAAUUGUGAGUAUGUGAUGAAUUGUAGAAUAACAUGUUGCUUUGAGAUUGAUUAUUAUAUUGUUAUUGAGAUUGAGUAUAAGUGUAAAGUUGAACAUGUGUUAAUUUGUGAGAUACGUGUAAACAUGUGAUGGUGGAUUGUGACACUAUGAGAUGUGAAAUUGUGAAUGAGUUCUAGUUGUGGAUAAGUGUAUAGUUAACACUUGAUGUGAAAUUACUUGUGUUGUAAGCCAUGAAUUGUACAAUACCCAACCAGCGUUAUCUUGAGAAAAGCGUUGAUGCGCAAUGUUAAAGAGAAAAUGUAGGUUUCUUAUUUAGGAACCAGUGUUAAAUCGUAGCGCAAUUGUGUUGAACGUGUUUAAAACACGAGUGUAAGGUCGUGGGUAUUGUAUAAUUCAUGAGCAGUGUCUGCAUGUAAAAAAAAAAUUAUUUUAGGGGUUGGACCUGAAUCAGGAGGGAGAGGCCCUGACGGACUCUUCGGAGUGUAGGCCUUGGGGGUCACCGGGUUUGAGUGCUCCUUUAAGCCUAUGCUGAUCUCAUAUGGUUGGAGCAUUCUCGCAAAACAUCGUGACCCUGACUGGUCUCCCUAUGAUCUUACUUAGUGAGAGUGACCUGACAAACCCAUUGUGUGGUGUGUCUUGUUAUGUACUCCUAAGCGCCCCAGGGUGGUUUUUCACUGACAUGGUACCACAUUGCAUAUAGAAUUGAGUCUUAGCAUAACUAUUUCAUAUGCUUGCUAAUUGAUGUGUUAUUAUAUCUUGAUCGAAGUGUGGGAUUCUUGUGUAAUGUGAUUGAUAAUUGAGAAGUGAAUUUUGAAUGACGAAGUGGUGAAGUUACGUGAGCUAUGUUUAAGCAAGUGGUAUCUCAUUUAUAUAAUAUGUAUAUUUAAUUGUCUUGUUUCUCUAUUAGUUAGGAAUGUGAUAACUCACUCCCUGUGUGUUGUUGUGUUUGGAUCCUGUGAUGAUCUUGAACUUGUGUUCGGGGGAGCAGAUGAAUAGGUGGAUGACUAUGAAGAACCUCAUGCUAGAGGACACGAGAACACCACGCUCUGAUAGGAUGUGACAUUAGGA